RNAcentral lists this ribosomal RNA (548 nucleotides) under uncultured bacterium. RNAcentral's name for it is "bacterial SSU rRNA". It matches the Rfam family "Bacterial small subunit ribosomal RNA", at positions 355 to 895 of the family's 1533-position model. The record is from RNAcentral.
UAGGGAAUCUUCGGCAAUGGACGGAAGUCUGACCGAGCAACGCCGCGUGAGUGAAGAAGGUUUUCGGAUCGUAAAGCUCUGUUGUAAGAGAAGAACGAGUGUGAGAGUGGAAAGUUCACACUGUGACGGUAUCUUACCAGAAAGGGACGGCUAACUACGUGCCAGCAGCCGCGGUAAUACGGUAGGUCCCGAGCGUUGUCCGGAUUUAUUGGGCGUAAAGCGAGCGCAGGCGGUUAGAUAAGUCUGAAGUUAAAGGCUGUGGCUUAACCAUAGUAGGCUUUGGAAACUGUUUAACUUGAGUGCAAGAGGGGAGAGUGGAAUUCCAUGUGUAGGUGAAAUGCGUAGAUAUAUGGAGGAACACCGGUGGCGAAAGCGGCUCUCUGGCUUGUAACUGACGCUGAGGCUCGAAAGCGUGGGGAGCAAACAGGAUUAGAUACCCUGGUAGUCCACGCUGUAAACGAUGAGUGCUAGGUGUUAGACCCUUUCCGGGGUUUAGUGCCGUAGCUAACGCAUUAAGCACUCCGCCUGGGGAGUACGACCGCAAGGUU